GGCGGGCUUGGCGGCGAAAGGCGCUUCCUCAGCCCGCGCGGGAGACCCAGAAGUAGUACUGAGGUAGCGCUCGUCCUCCCGCCGGUCCACCACCACCGAGUGUAGCCCGGGCCCGGCCUAUUUCAUCAGACACAACCCCAGAGCCGGGAGCCACCCCUACCCCGGGAGCCCUUCGCCAAGCACGCAGCUCCAGACCAGAAGCAGUCGCUCCGACCCAGAGCUCCGGGUGGGGCAGAAGAAUCUUUUCUUGCUGCUCUCCUAGGAUCUACCAACCAGAGAUUCUAAUGUGAUACGUUUGGAAUGGAGUUAUCGAUCUGCAUUUUUAAUAGGCAUUCCUCCAGGCUUGGGUCCCAGCUCCAAAAUGUCUCAUUAUCUGUAUUUGAAUAUCCCCAAAUUUGAAAAAUUCAAAAUCUGAAACACUUCUGAUCCCAAGCAUUUCAGACUCCUAAGAGUUAAUACGAAGUAGAAAGAGAAGUUGGAGUUAAGCAGCUCGUUCCAGUUCUGAUUUUGCCAUUUCCUGUCUGAGUGACCUGAAAGCAGAAAGAAAGCAGCAAGUGUUUCUGCCCGGAAUCACAUGAGGCAAGACUCAACAGAAGAUGGAACAUUUAAGCAGGCCUUGAGGCCAACAGCUGCCCAUUGUCACUGGUUCUACCUUUAGCAGCAUCUCUCUCCUCUCCUGAUAUCCUACAAGCCUGGAAACCUGGGACUGUUCAGAGCCCCGAGAGCUAGAAUAAGUGUGCCAUGUAAUGUGGAUGUGAGUAGUAAGACAGAAAAAUAAAAAACAAACUGUGGCGGGAGGCUAAUAAGACCCCCAUAGACAAACGUUUAGGUUGUUUCUAAGCUUUCGCUUUUUACAAUGUUGUAAUGAAUGAUUGUGAGCUCAUUCCAUGUAUUUGUGAAUAUAACUGUAAGAUAAAUUCCUAGAAGAAAAGGUGCUGGGUCAAAGGGCACGUGAUUUAAAAUCUUGAUCCUAGAAGAUAGUGCAAGUUACAUUCUCACCAGUGAUGCAUGAGAGAACACAUUUCCUUACAUCACAGCCAACACAAGGGACUGGCCGCCUUAAGCAGGGCUGCACAGGAGGAAAUCUGUCUCCUCCCCGCUCUGCUGAAACACUAAAUGAAGAACUUUUUAAUUGUUACUGAGUAUCUGAGUCAUUGAAUUCCUCAGUUUUCUGGAACUGUGAUCACACAAGGCUUCGCUUUAGAACACGGAUACUCUACAUAGUAAGAAGCUACAGUUGAACUGCACAUGCCACCCUCAUUACCACUCUCAUCAAAUGCUGUAGCUUCAACUUCCUCCUUCAAUCCAGUUUAAAGACUGGGACAUGGAAAAUAAGAAAGUGUUCGGACAUUUUCAGAAUGGAAUAACGCGUGUGAAGGGCGGGGUCCUGAUGCAGUGGCCACAGGCACACCUGAAGGUGUAGAUUUUCUUUUUGGGACAAAGACUCCCUAUUGUCCUUCAAAAAAAAAAAUCUUAUCAUAUUUUAAUUAUAUCACCCAGGAAAAUAGACUGUCCUGGAAAACAAAAGUCACCAGCCUCUGCUAAAGCUGGAGUCUUUAGGGGUAAAAUCAGGGGCACAGGUCAAACAUAGUUUUCGGUGACCUAUGUCUGCAAGGCAGUCAGAAGCAAUAAACUGUGCAGGGUUGAUUAAGCUUGAUGAUAUCAAUGUACUCUAUUGAGUAUUGAAAUAUUGAAAUAUUUGUGAUGUUAUCUAUUUAUUUGUAUUGUUCCAUGGGUAUGUAUCUCCUAUUUGCUUUCAUCAGAGAUUCAGAGGACAGUCCUCAAAAUGAAAAGAUUCUUGUAGUUGUUUUCUGAAACAUCCAAGAAGUACCUGGAAAGACAAAGGGAACAAAUAACUACUACUAUUAAUCAUUGGACGCUGAUAAUGUGCUAAAGGUGAUAUCUUAUUCACAACUGCACCAUGUAAGUGAUCAUCCAACAUUCUUCAGUGUUGUACUCAAGGCUCAGAGAGGGUAAGAAACUUGCCAGAGUCAUCCAGCAAGCAAGGAUCAAAUCUGGGAUUCAAAACAGGCCCCGAAGCCUCCAGAGCCUAGAGUGGGAGCUGGCACUGACAUGAGGACGGGAGAGUGGAAAAAGAAUCCUAGGAUUCCUGCAACGAAGCAGGUCUGGUCCCGACAAGGGGCCCCAGGCCUCACAGGGGGACUUGCCCAGUGAACACAGGGUGCCGGGAACUCCGUACCUCCCUCCUGCAGCCCGCAAUUUUCCAUCACCAUUGGAGAGCUGUUUGAAAUACUACAGCUCCAAUCCCCAUGACCCUCUUGAAAUUCCUCCACCAUCCCUGAGGCCUCCCAGUCCCAGUGUGGGAAAUUCUGCUUUAGAGGGAUGUUAUGAAUAUUAAGGAACAAGUGAUUAUUAACCUUUUGGCAAACAUACAGUCCUAUAGAAAUGUUAACCGUAUGUUCCCAUUUAACUUCAUUUAUAGCACUUGGACGACACUAAGACAUUUGCCUCUUGUUUAGGACUUAUACUAGUCAGAAUUUGCAAAGAAAUCAUUAGGCACUUCCUACAUAAGGCAUAAGAGACGCUGUCUACAUCUUCGUGCCUUCUGAUCCAGAGGGUUUGGUUUGGUUUGGUUUUUGCUUUGAAUAAUACCCUGUAGUUGACUGAGUCUGUUACAAAUAAUCUCUUAAUUAUGUGACUUACUCCACUCAAAAGACUUCAGCAAUUCACCAUUCCUCUGAGACCAUUUACAGGUUAUUAAAAAAUCUAAGUUCCGUAUAGUUGGCCUUCAACUUGGAUGUUAAGCUUGACAUGAUUCCUUUCCACGUGUUUUCAUUUUCUUCUGCGACAGCACCUCCUGCCCCCCAGAAUAGUGCAUUUAUCUCCCAAAUUCAAUCAUCUAUAUUAACUGGGGACCUGCUAUCUGGAUAAGUGAUAUCCACAAGUGUUCCAAGAAACUUUAAUAUUAAUAACUUUAUCGCAAUCAAUAGUUCCAAAUUCAUCAGACAGGAUUUCACUAGAGUUGCCAAAAAGGAAUACAAUUUAACUGCUCUGAGAGCCUUCACCCUGUUCUCAUCCCGUGUUUCCAUGGAAGAUGCAAAGAACAGAGACACACGAGAAAGGUGGACAGGCAGAGUCAAGAAUGAAACGGAAUGAGGUCUCUGUCAACAAGCUGGAUAAUGUCCAUUUCCCUGAGCUUGAGUCUGUUCCUCUCUGUUCCUCCUUCUGUUUUUUCUCUCUCCUCACUGGAGUGCUAAUGAAUACCUUCCACUGCUCUGGAAUGCCAUUAUGUUGUGAUUGUCCUCCCUUGCGAGGUCUUUGCAGAGGCCACGAUGAGACCGGUCUCAUCCACGGCUUUGUGUCCUCCUCCCUGAUACAGUCCCCAAAGGCCCUCUCCACUCAGGGCUCAAGUUCCACUCACUGGGUGGGUCAUACCCCCAGCCCUGUAAAAUGUUUCUGAAGGAUUGGGGCUCUGACAUACCUCACCCAAAUCUUUUGCAUCUUUAAUAAACGAAGUUAGUACCAAGAUAUCUUAAAGCAAUCAAGUCUUCAUUUACACCCUUUAAAUAUCUGUAGACAGUUAUCAUGGCCCUCUGUCAAGCAACACGAUGACCCGGU
This 3579-nucleotide long non-coding RNA is filed under the name Homo sapiens (human). RNAcentral describes it as "HSALNT0248738". Lineage: Eukaryota; Metazoa; Chordata; Mammalia; Primates; Hominidae. The record is from RNAcentral.